AUCAGGCUGUAGCUAGAGCUUAAACUCCCUAUAUGAUUGGUUGAAGUUUCAAUCCCUUAGCUUGCAGCUAUGACUCAUUUGGGCUUAGGGGAAAGUCCACUUUGAUUGGUUGAAGUUUCAAUCCCUUAGCUUGCAGCUAUGACCCAUUUCGGCUUAGGGGAAAGUCCCCUUAGGGAAGUCCCUAUUGACCCAGGAAGUCCAGCCAACUUAGCCACUUAGUCCCUCAGCCCUGGCUUGUGGAAGCAGAGAUUCCUAAUACGGCCCUCACUUCUCCACUUUCUCCACUGGGGUUGGAAGCAGUAGGAGUAGCUAUAGAGGAUGUAUUAACACCAAUUUACAGAGAUCCUAUUGAAUUUACAUCUCUCCAGCAGGUGUGAUGCAAGGAAAACAAAGCUAAUACCCAAAGUCUUUGGACAUUUUUCUUGUCUGUAUGAUCAAAGUUGGGUCCUGGACACAACCAUAUAAUAUCUUGCAGAGCGUGGAAAGAGAGAAAGUCCACUUUAAGCGAUGGAAAAUCAGCCCCAAUUCUGAAGGAACAACCAUGAACAGAUGAUUUAAGGAGAAUCAAUUCUUUGCUCUUUGCAGAAGGAGCCAACAGAGUGAGAUGAAGGGGACAACUUCAGAUACUCAGGCAGAAGUGAACUUGGCUCCAUGCAUUGAUGGAGAAGAAAGACACCCGAGGGCUCCAUUCUGCAGGAUGAGUCUGCAGGGAUCUCCUUGCCAGCUAUGGAAGUCAGUAUGACAGCUUCAGCUACCUACAGUCCACUUGCCAGGAAAAAAGCAGAGUUCUCUAUGACCAUGUUGGAGAAGCACCGAACCCAACUUUAGAUGGUCAGGGAAGAAUUCUCCUAAGAAACAACACUGAAACUGAGACUUAAGAAUGCAUAGAAAUUGUCUAGACAAAAAGAGUAAUGGCAAAGACUGUUCCAAGCAAAUGGAAUGUGGACAACUGCAGAGGCAACACAUAAGUCCCCACCUGCUGACCUGCUGCCUGCUAUCUUAACACGAAUUCUUCAUCUGAAUGGAUGAGCUUUUCACAGAGUUCCAAACUAAGGAAUCCAGGAGUGGCCAAUCCAGAGAUUCAUUCCUUAUCUUUGACGAACAUCUGAACUCCUGGCUCAUCCUGUGGAAUUCAGGCCAUACAGGAGAUCAAGGUCAUUUGCUUUGGGUUAAAUGAAUGUUGCCAGGUGGAGGUUGCUAGAGGGAGAGUGCUAUGUGAAAGUGCUGUAUAAACUGCUUGCUUUUCACAAACAGUAGUGAUUCUUUAUCCUGUCCAGCCUGCCACAACUGGACCAUCCUGUAUGUAAGUCCCCUUAAUAAAUCCUGUGUCUCAUUCA
Molecule: long non-coding RNA, 1337 nt
Filed under: Homo sapiens (human)
Lineage: Eukaryota; Metazoa; Chordata; Mammalia; Primates; Hominidae
Description: uncharacterized LOC101928721, transcript variant 1 (LOC101928721)
Source: RNAcentral